Non-coding RNA from Phascolarctos cinereus (koala), 958 nucleotides. Lineage: Eukaryota; Metazoa; Chordata; Mammalia; Diprotodontia; Phascolarctidae. The record is from RefSeq and is a predicted model, not a curated record.
GGCGGGGGGAGGGGAGGUGGUUAAUCAGCUCACAAGCAAGCUGAGAUCUGUACCAUUUGGGAAGCAAUUCAGCAAAAGAAGACAAAGGCCUGUGCCAAAGACAUCUCGGAGAAAAGGUGAUCCUUUGACAGGUAAAUAAUCAAGAUUUGUCUGUAUCCUAUCAAGAAAAGAAAAUACAGAGCUCCCUAUGGAACCUGGCAAAGGGAUGAAAUCAGUUAAAAGUCAUUCUUUGUGAAGCACUUGCCAAUGUGUAGAUUAAGAGAAAAACAAUCCAGACAAAUAUGUAUGCGUUAUAUUUUACUCCCAUGAAAUAAAACACAUUUUUCAUGUUUGCUGAAAAGUAAAACAAUAAUAUAGUACGAAAUGUUAUACACAGGGCAGGUUUUACAUCGCAGUUUUCAGAAACAUCAUUGCAUCCACCAGAGGAACUAUUCUAAAACUGAUAUUCACACAAUGUUUUUUUUAUAAUAAUAAUAUGUUAGAAACAUACAGUGUCGCAUUUAGUAUAUACAUUCCCUUGCUCGCAAGCGAAAAAUCCUAAUCGCUUCUGUAUAACAUGCUUUAUUUUAAAGCCUAACCUUUAAAAACACUGUUUUGAUAUUACUAACAACUGCUUUUAUAAAAUUAAUUUGACAUUUCCAUAUAUAUACAUCCUUUCAGUCAUUUUUAAUGUUAACAAUGCUAAACUUAAAAAAUAACAAGCUUAUGGUAACAUUAAAAUGUCAUAUCCAGUCAACAUUUGUCCAUAUAUAUUUAUAUAUAUAUGUCCUUGUUACUGUUGGAAAUACUUUUAGUGAAAGAUGUCAGAAACUGAGGAAAUUCGUUUGAAAACAAAAGAGCGUUCUCUAUUUCAGUGGUUUCCUUCUCUCACUCUUUCGCUCCCUCUCUCUUCCGUGCCCAUUACUUUCUAGUAGAAUUCUCAGUCUUUCCAGGAAGGGAUUUUCUCAUUCGGUAUUUA